RNAcentral lists this small RNA (307 nucleotides) under Vigna angularis var. angularis. RNAcentral describes it as "Non-protein coding transcript". Lineage: Eukaryota; Viridiplantae; Streptophyta; Magnoliopsida; Fabales; Fabaceae. The record is from RNAcentral.
UAUUGUUAUGGUUAAUAACAAAAUGAAUCUCAAGCCUUUUAUUCUGCUGUGUUUUCUGUCCGCGGUGGUUGUCAUCGCUGCGGUUGUGGCUGAUGAUCCACCUCUAGAAAAGGGAAAUGCUCCAGGAAUGAGUGGAAUUGACGAGAAAUUUACUGGAAGCGAUGACGAGCAGGGACUCUUUUUUAGCGGUAGGAAACUCGUGUCAAAUUAUGGUACCGAUCAUUGUAGAGGAAAGGGAGGAAAAGGAGGUGGCGGAUACAGUGGUGGUUGUAGUGGUGGAUGCCGAGGAAGAGGUGGUAGUGCUGGA